This 483-nucleotide ribosomal RNA is filed under the name uncultured Exiguobacterium sp. RNAcentral describes it as "bacterial SSU rRNA". It matches the Rfam family "Bacterial small subunit ribosomal RNA", at positions 956 to 1437 of the family's 1533-position model. The record is from RNAcentral. Lineage: Bacteria; Bacillati; Bacillota; Bacilli; Caryophanales.
GCAACGCGAAGAACCUUACCAACUCUUGACAUCCCCCUGACCGGUACAGAGAUGUGCCUUCCCCUUCGGGGNCAGGGGUGACAGGUGGUGCAUGGUUGUNGUCAGCUCGUGUCGUGAGAUGUUGGGUUAAGUCCCGCAACGAGCGCAACCCUUNUCNUUAGUUGCCAGCAUUUGGUUGGGCACUCUAAGGAGACUGCCGGUGACAAACCGGAGGAAGGUGGGGAUGACGUCAAAUCAUCAUGCCCCUUAUGAGUUGGGCUACACACGUGCUACAAUGGACGGUACAAAGGGCAGCGAAGCCGCGAGGUGGAGCCAAUCCCAGAAAGCCGUUCUCAGUUCGGAUUGCAGUCUGCAACUCGCCUGCAUGAAGUCGGAAUCGCUAGUAAUCGCAGGUCAGCAUACUGCGGUGAAUACGUUCCCGGGUCUUGUACACACCGCCCGUCACACCAACGAGAGUUUGCNACACCCGAAGUCGGUGAGUAA